This 324-nucleotide unclassified non-coding RNA is filed under the name plant metagenome. RNAcentral describes it as "partial contains 5.8S ribosomal RNA, internal transcribed spacer 2, and large subunit ribosomal RNA". The stretch from base 1 to 105 matches the Rfam family "5.8S ribosomal RNA", at positions 50 to 154 of the family's 154-position model. The record is from RNAcentral.
GAAAUGCGAUAACUAAUGUGAAUUGCAGAAUUCAGUGAAUCAUCGAGUCUUUGAACGCACAUUGCGCCCCCUGGUAUUCCGGGGGGCAUGCCUGUCCGAGCGUCAUUGCUGCCCUCAAGCCCGGCUUGUGUGUUGGGCCCUCGUCCCCCGGCUCCCGGGGGACGGGCCCGAAAGGCAGCGGCGGCACCGCGUCCGGUCCUCGAGCGUAUGGGGCUUCGUCUUCCGCUCCGUAGGCCCGGCCGGCGCCCGCCGACGCAUUUAUUUGGAACUUGUUUUUUUCCAGGUUGACCUCGGAUCAGGUAGGGAUACCCGCUGAACUUAAGC